AUGAUUGUCUAAGGAGAGCGUGGAUUAGCCACCGCCGAAGGAGCAAAUUGACUGAGAUUUUUCCAAUGGUCUUUGAAUCUCUCAGGUAACUGUACUUUGACAUGAUG
This 107-nucleotide non-coding RNA is filed under the name Desulfuribacillus alkaliarsenatis. Its description in RNAcentral is "Glycine sequence". It matches the Rfam family "Glycine riboswitch aptamer". Rfam says of the family: This family represents the bacterial glycine riboswitch. Glycine riboswitches usually consist of two metabolite-binding aptamers domains with similar structures in tandem. Lineage: Bacteria; Bacillati; Bacillota; Desulfuribacillia; Desulfuribacillales; Desulfuribacillaceae. The record is from Rfam by way of RNAcentral.